RNAcentral lists this ribosomal RNA (255 nucleotides) under uncultured bacterium. RNAcentral's name for it is "partial 16S ribosomal RNA". It matches the Rfam family "Bacterial small subunit ribosomal RNA", at positions 524 to 776 of the family's 1533-position model. The record is from RNAcentral.
UACGUAGGGUGCAAGCGUUGUCCGGAAUCAUUGGGCGUAAAGGGUGUGUAGGCGGUUUUGUUAGUCUCGUGUAAAAUUCUUCGGCUCAACCGGGGGCUCGCACGGGAAACGGCAAGACUUAGAGGAUGGAAGAGGUCUCUGGAACUCAUGGUGUAGCGGUGAAAUGCGUUGAUAUCAUGGGGAACACCAAAAGCGAAGGCAAGAGACUGGUCCAUUUCCUGACGCUGAAACACGAAAGCGUGGGUCGCGAAUGGG